RNAcentral lists this ribosomal RNA (253 nucleotides) under uncultured bacterium. RNAcentral's name for it is "partial 16S ribosomal RNA". It matches the Rfam family "Bacterial small subunit ribosomal RNA", at positions 524 to 776 of the family's 1533-position model. The record is from RNAcentral.
UACGUAGGGGGCAAGCGUUGUCCGGAAUCAUUGGGCGUAAAGCGCGCGUAGGCGGCCUGGUAAGUCCGUUGUGAAAGUCAAAGGCUCAACCUUUGAACGCCGAUGGAUACUGCCGGGCUAGAGUCCGGAAGAGGCGAGUGGAAUUCCUGGUGUAGCGGUGGAAUGCGCAGAUAUCAGGAGGAACACCAAUAGCGAAGGCAGCUCGCUGGGACGGUACUGACGCUGAGGCGCGAAAGCGUGGGGAGCGAACAGG